RNAcentral lists this ribosomal RNA (1617 nucleotides) under Clavulina nigricans. RNAcentral's name for it is "eukaryotic LSU rRNA". The stretch from base 688 to 1617 matches the Rfam family "Eukaryotic large subunit ribosomal RNA", at positions 1 to 932 of the family's 3401-position model. Lineage: Eukaryota; Fungi; Basidiomycota; Agaricomycetes; Cantharellales; Hydnaceae. The record is from RNAcentral.
UUAGAGGAAGUAAAAGUCGUAACAAGGUUUCCGUAGGUGAACCUGCGGAAGGAUCAUUAAUGAAUUGUAAUGGGGGUUGAUGCUGGCAGUUGUCUGUUUGACUGCAUGUGCUCAUCCUUAACAAUCUGUUAUCCAAACACACCUGUGCACCUUAUGUGAAGGGGGGGCCUCCAAGCCGAUUGCUGUCUUUUUGAUAGUUCUCUUGGGUUCCUCCUUUGCCCCUUUUAUCAUACACUUGUUGCAAUAUUUGAAUGUGCUCAUGCCGGCAAGGCAAUUUAUAAGAAUAUACAACUUUUAACAACGGAUCUCUUGGCUCUCGCAUCGAUGAAGAACGCAGCGAAAUGCGAUAAGUAAUGUGAAUUGCAGAAUUCAGUGAAUCAUCGAAUCUUUGAACGCACCUUGCGCUUCCUGGUAUUCCGGGGAGCAUGCCUGUUCGAGUGUCGUAAAAUUCUCAAGCUGGAUGGUUUUUCCGUCCUAGCAUUGGUUUAUUGGGCUCUGCCGGUGUCCCUCCAUUAGGAGGGACCGGCUGGCCUUAAAGGCAUUAGCUUUGACCCUCUGAUGUGGGAUUGGUUCCUACUCGGCGUGAUAAUAAUCUGAUCGCUGAGGACAUCUUUCGGGAUGGCCAAUUCUCAUCUGGGUUGCUUCAAAUCUGGCAAAUGCGAAUAACGUGUUGUGCCCCUUUGAUUUUGGCCUCGAAUCAGGUGGGAUUACCCGCUGAACUUAAGCAUAUCAAUAAGCGGAGGAAAAGAAACUAACAAGGAUUCCCCUAGUAACGGCGAGUGAAGCGGGAAAAGCUCAAAUUUAGAAUCUGGCAGUGUUUGACUGUCCGAGUUGUAAUCUAGAGAAGCGUUUUCCGUGCUGGACUGUGUACAAGUUUCCUGGAUACGGAACAUCAUAGAGGGUGAGAAUCCCGUCCUUGACACAGACUGCCAGUGCCCUGUGAUGCGCUCUCGACGAGUCGAGUUGUUUGGGAUUGCAGCUCAAAAUGGGAGGUAAAUUCCUUCUAAAGCUAAAUAUUGGCGAGAGACCGAUAGCGAACAAGUACCGUGAGGGAAAGAUGAAAAGCACUUUGGAAAGAGAGUUAAACAGUACGUGAAAUUGUUAAAAGGGAAACGCUUGAAGUCAGUCGCGUCUGCUUGGACUCAGCCUUACCGUUUGGUUUGGUGCAUUUCCUUGCGGACGGGCCAGCGUCCAUGUGGUUUGUCGGAAAAGGGGUGAGAGAAUGUGGCUCCUUUAGGGAGUGUUAUAGCUCUCACUCGUACGCGGGGAACGAUAUGGAGUGGUACAGCACGCUUCGGUGGUGUCUUGUGCUGGCAUAAUGGCUUUAAACGACCCGUCUUGAAACACGGACCAAGGAGUCUAACAUGUCUGCAAGUGUUUGGGUGGAAAACCCGAGCGCGUAAUGAAAGUGAUAGCUGGGAACCCCCUUUUUUGGGGAGGCACCGGUGCCCCGAGCUGACCUUCUGUGACGCAUCGGAGGUAGAGCAUACAUGUUGGGACCCGAAAGAUGGUGAACUAUGCCUGAAUAGGGCGAAGCCAGAGGAAACUCUGGUGGAGGCUCGUAGCGAUUCUGACGUGCAAAUCGAUCGUCAAAUUUGGGUAUAGGGGCGAAAGACU